CCCCCCCCCAACCUCUCUCCCUGUCAGUGUGUUCUCACCCAUCUUGACAACCAUGGCCAAGGUCCCCCCUCAUCUCAUCAUCGCUCUCAUUCUUCCAUUAACUAUCAUCCUUGUGAGAGGAGAUGUUGCUGCCUCCAAGCCACAACCGACCAUCCAAUAUCUACCCACUAGCAUGGUUGAGUACCACACCAUUGAUAGACCCGCCAACAUGGAUGUCAAUGCCCAAAACCCCCCCUUCAAGUAAAUGCGCGACGUGUGAGUGCUGUACUAACAAAGACCACAAGAAUUGCUUAUCAACGCAGUGUUGCUAUCGCAUCAAAUGCAACAUUCCUGGCAAGCCCUUUGGCACGUGUGCCUUCAUGCCCGAAGCUUGCAACUGUGACUCAUGUGGUUAAUCCUACUAAAUGUGUUGGGAUAAAAUAAAUUUGGUCAUCGAAUAAAUUUGUUUAUUGGAAUGGGUGAACAAGUUUGAGGUCGUUGAUAGUAUUAUCGUAUGGUGUAUGUUUUGGAAUUGCAAUUUUCUAAUAUGCAUUCACUUUGA
Phoenix dactylifera (date palm) is the source of this 541-nucleotide non-coding RNA. The record is from RefSeq and is a predicted model, not a curated record. Lineage: Eukaryota; Viridiplantae; Streptophyta; Magnoliopsida; Arecales; Arecaceae.